CUCAGUGUGUAGACCAGGCUGGCCUUGAACUCCCAAUCCUCCAGCCUCAGCCUCCUCUGAGCAGCUGGGAUUACAGGCGUGAACCACCAGCGCCUG
Molecule: microRNA precursor, 96 nt
Filed under: Dipodomys ordii (Ord's kangaroo rat)
Lineage: Eukaryota; Metazoa; Chordata; Mammalia; Rodentia; Heteromyidae
Description: miRNA (ENSDORG00000026297.1)
Source: RNAcentral